CCUAGCUAAUUUGGAGUUUCAGAUCAACAACGAAUCCUUUUUAGCCUGAGUACAUCCCAUACAAUGCUUGGGGCAUACUUAUACUCGAAGAUUUAUUUGUUGCUCAUUCAAAUUCAA
This 117-nucleotide microRNA precursor is filed under the name Echinops telfairi (small Madagascar hedgehog). RNAcentral describes it as "miRNA (ENSETEG00000026419.1)". Lineage: Eukaryota; Metazoa; Chordata; Mammalia; Afrosoricida; Tenrecidae. The record is from RNAcentral.